UACGUAGGGAGCAAGCGUUGUUCGGAUUUACUGGGCGUAAAGGGCGCGUAGGCGGCGCGGUAAGUCACUUGUGAAAUCUCUGAGCUUAACUCAGAACGGCCAAGUGAUACUGCAGUGCUAGAGUGCAGAAAGGGCAAUCGGAAUUCUUGGUGUAGCGGUGAAAUGCGUAGAUAUGCGGAGGAACACCGAUGGCGAAGGCAAUCCCCUGGACCUGUACUGACGCUCAUGCACGAAAGCGUGGGGAGCAAACAGG
This 253-nucleotide ribosomal RNA is filed under the name uncultured bacterium. RNAcentral's name for it is "partial 16S ribosomal RNA". It matches the Rfam family "Bacterial small subunit ribosomal RNA", at positions 524 to 776 of the family's 1533-position model. The record is from RNAcentral.